AUUGAACGCUGGCGGCAUGCCUUACACAUGCAAGUCGAACGGUAACGCGGGGCAACCUGGCGACGAGUGGCGAACGGGUGAGUAAUGCAUCGGAACGUGCCCAGUAGUGGGGGAUAGCCCGGCGAAAGCCGGAUUAAUACCGCAUACGACCUACGGGUGAAAGGGGGGGAUCGCAAGACCUCUCGCUAUUGGAGCGGCCGAUGUCAGCUUAGGUAGUUGGUGGGGUAAAGGCCCACCAAGCCUUCGAUCUGUAGCUGGUCUGAGAGGACGACCAGCCACACUGGGACUGAGACCCGGCCCAGACUCCUACGGGAGGCAGCAGUGGGGAAUUUUGGACAAUGGGCGCAAGCCUGAUCCAGCCAUGCCGCGUGCGGGAAGAAGGCCUUCGGGUUGUAAACCGCUUUUGUCAGGGAAGAAACGCUCUGGGCUAAUACCUCGGGGUAAUGACGGUACCUGAAGAAUAAGCACCGGCUAACUACGUGCCAGCCGCCGCGGUAA
Molecule: ribosomal RNA, 498 nt
Filed under: uncultured bacterium
Lineage: Bacteria
Description: partial 16S ribosomal RNA
Rfam family: Bacterial small subunit ribosomal RNA
Source: RNAcentral